GACGAACGCUGGCGGCGUGCCUAAUACAUGCAAGUAGAACGCACAGUUUAUACCGUAGCUUGCUCCACCAUAGACUGUGAGUUGCGAACGGGUGAGUAACGCGUAGGUAACCUGCCUGGUAGCGGGGGAUAACUAUUGGAAACGAUAGCUAAUACCGCAUAAUAUUAAUUAUUGCAUGAUAAUUAAUUGAAAGGUGCAAUUGCACCACUACCAGAUGGACCUGCGUUGUAUUAGCUAGUAGGUGAGGUAACGGCUCACCUAGGCGACGAUACAUAGCCGACCUGCGAGGGUGGUCGGCCACCCUGGGACGGGGACACGGCCCUGACUCCUACGGGAGGCGGCCGUAGGGAAUCUUCGGCAAUGGGCGAAAGUCUGACCGAGCAACGCCGCGUGAGUGAAGAAGGUCUUCGGAUCGUAAAGCUCUGUUGUAAGAGAAGAACGGGUGUGAGAGUGGAAAGUUCACACUGUGACGGUAUCUUACCAGAAAGGGACGGCUAACUACGUG
RNAcentral lists this ribosomal RNA (505 nucleotides) under uncultured bacterium. RNAcentral describes it as "partial 16S ribosomal RNA". It matches the Rfam family "Bacterial small subunit ribosomal RNA", at positions 28 to 507 of the family's 1533-position model. The record is from RNAcentral.